UUCACCGGGAGGGUGCCAAUGGGACGGGAGAGCGGUACCGGUAAUGGGGCGAGGGGGAGAUGCCUCAGACCGCCAGAAACACUGGGGCAGCUGCUCGCGUGCUCCUUUUGGAUCUCACAGCACAGGGAGGCCUUUCAUCUGAUUACCUCCCCGUCUCGGUCUCUCUGGCUCUGUCUCUGGCUCUCUGUCUCUCUGUGUCUCUCUCUCUGCGUCUGUCUGUCUCUCUGAGGUGACAGCGGAUUCCAGCGUAUUGCUGCUUGCUGGGUAAACCUGUUUUUCCUCUGUUUUCCUCCUCUCUCUCUCUCCUGCUCAAACCCCUGACCUUCAGGCCGCCCCUGACCUUGUCACUAUCAGUGAAUAGGGAACAGCUUUUCUUCCUCCACCUUAUCUGAACCUAUCACAAUCUUCCCCACUUUCACCAGUUGUAUCUGUGUGUGACCCUCUCUUUCUGUGUCUCUUUCUCUCCUAAGCCCCCUCCCUCACCACAUCCCAUUUACCCACCCCUCCUGUCAUGCUCCCACUUUCAAACGGUCUCGUUGUGUUUUCACUGCCUCUUCCCCAUCGUUUCCGUCAAGCACCUCAUCUCACGCUUAGAACCCCUGCAGUGUAGGAGUAGGCCCUUCAGCCCAUCCAACCCACACCUCACCCAGACCUCUGCCUGUAACCCUGCAAUUCCCAUUGGCUAACCCACCUAGCCUACACAUCCCUGGGCACUAUGGGUAAUUUAGCCUGACCAAUCCACCCAAACCUGCACAUCCCUGGAUACUAUAGGACAAUUUAGCCUGGCCAAUCCUACACUAAGGGUGGAUUGGCCAUGCUAAUUUACCCAUAGUGUCCAGGGAUGUGUAGGUUAGGGUAGAUUGGCCAUGCUAAAUUACCCAAUCCUACAUAUCCCUGGGUACUGUUAGGAUAAAAUAGGUUAAGGGAGGGUGGAGCUAUAGCUGCUGUUUGGGGAAUCAAAACUGUAGCUGUAGCUGCUGCUUGGGAAAUUGAAACUGUUGCUUACGUGGCCAGCUCAGCUGCCAACGCCCAAAUGAGCUCAAUAACAGGGAACGUCGAGCAAACGCGAAAUGUCCUAAUAGGGCAAUGCUUAGUAGCUCCGCGAAGCUCUGCUUCGCAAAGAGUAUAUCAGGAGCAGAUUUGGGAGGGGAAGGCAGAACGUGCCUUCUCCAGUGAAUGCAUGGUGAUUCACUGUAUCAGCUACGAUUCUGCAAUAAAGCCUGCUUGUGCCAAACAA
Molecule: long non-coding RNA, 1237 nt
Organism: Hemiscyllium ocellatum (epaulette shark)
Lineage: Eukaryota; Metazoa; Chordata; Chondrichthyes; Orectolobiformes; Hemiscylliidae
Exons: 2
Source: RefSeq, a predicted model, not a curated record